Long non-coding RNA from Epinephelus fuscoguttatus (brown-marbled grouper), 1674 nucleotides. RefSeq lists it as uncharacterized. The transcript is spliced from 4 exons. The record is from RefSeq and is a predicted model, not a curated record. NCBI's taxonomy places the organism in Eukaryota, Metazoa, Chordata, Actinopteri, Perciformes, Serranidae.
AUCCGCACCAUCGCUGAGCUGGAAGACAUGGCUAUAGCUCUGUAAAAACCAGGGGGGCCCCUGACACUUUGGGCCCCUGAGCCUGUGCCCAAGAGGCCUGUUCAGAAAUCCAUCCAUGCCUGUGAUGAGGCGGCGUCACAGGAACAGACUGCUAUACAAUCCGUGGAUGGCACUUUCCAAGGAGAUACACACGCACCAGAUGGAUGCCUUCCUGGCCGGUCCGAGACCAGCAGACCGCAGCAUCAUCACUGUCAAGUCAGCGAGGAAAUGCAGAACUUUACCAUCUUGGAUUUUUGGAGCCAGAGGUGACCAUAUUUGGAUGAGAAGGUGGAGCUGUGGAGGUGCGAGGGAUGGAUCUGACUCAUAGACUGUAUCGACACCCUGCAGACAGCCUGUCAUUCAAAGCAGCUCACCCCUACAUAUGCACAACUUUUAAACUCAAUAAAAUGUCAGCAGGUGAGUUGUAUAAAAAUUCACCUGCUGUACAGUUGUCAUGAACGGGGAAAUUACUUAUAGAGACCAAAACUGUUUUUCAUUCCACAUAAACAUGUUUAUUUCUAUUGUACAGUUGGACAUUUAAGCAUGGGUGUCUGGGGAUUGACUUGCUUUUGGAGCCAACCUCAAGAGGCCAUCUGAUGAAAUGCAGUUUUUGGCACUUCAGUGUUGACUUCAUGUGUCAGCCUUUGAGGCUGCUGCUUGGCUUUAAUUUAAGAGGUCGGGUACAUUUUAUAAAAUAGAAUUUAAAAAAAAAAAAAAGGACAGGAGGUGGCAGAUUUUUGCACAAAAACAAUACAUUUAUUCAAGUGUUCUCCAGCACAAGUACAUACGGAGCCUUUAUCUUCUCUCUGGACACUAAACUUAAGUAUGGGGGGAGGGAGGGGGGGAGUCAAAGUGGAGAAUGACUGCUACAUUUGCUGUACGAACUGGUCUUGAGGAAAAAGCGUAUAGGCCAUUAACAGUUAUGACAGAAAGAAAGUCACACAGAGUGUCAACAGUAUCACCGAAUAUAGAAUUAUUGACCUGCCUUGAACAGUAAAACUCAAAUGUUGUUUCUGAUGAUUCAAAAAAAAAAAGAAAAGAAAAAAACAUCGAUUCAAAACAACAUUUGGAAAACAGACAUGGAGAAUAUUACGGCAUGGAAUGUAGGAUUAAGAAGCAAUGCGUAUUAAGCAUACAUUAUGCUACAGUAAAAGUUAUUACCGUUUUUUUUUUCUCACACAAUUUUCCCACAGAUAAUCACCAACUACAGCAAUCUCUAGUCUAAAACAAUAUAGGAAACCUUUCAUUAUUUGUUAUCCUUAUUUUUUCAAGUACAAAGUUAAAAUGCCUUUGUUAAUAUAUUUAUAUGAGUGAAAUAAUAGUUCUUUUCUGUUACUACAAGGAACUUAAAAACAGUCAUUGUCAAGACAUGUUUAUUUCUCUUCCAAUCAAAUAUAUUUUUCUUGUUUAGAUAAAAUGUUUAGCACCAUCGGAGACACCUACAAUCCCUCUUUUUAAAGUUUUACAAAAGGAAACAGAAGCCAAAACAAAAACCAAACAAAAAAACACCACCAUGUAGGGCUGUGCAGUGAAGUUGAGACCGUUCAUCUUAAAGCUGUCCAUAGGCCACUAUUAAGAUCACAUGACAUAAAUCUGGACUCACUUGACACAAACAAAUCAGUACGAUAAAGUAGU